CGAGGGAGCUUGCUCCCGCUGGGCUACGAAGUAGCCCCAUGCCUUUUUGGGCGGGCUUCGCCCACCAGCGGGAGCAAGCUCCCUCG
This 86-nucleotide unclassified non-coding RNA is filed under the name Pseudomonas thivervalensis. Lineage: Bacteria; Pseudomonadati; Pseudomonadota; Gammaproteobacteria; Pseudomonadales; Pseudomonadaceae. The record is from RNAcentral.